GAUGAACGCUGGCGGCGUGCCUAAUACAUGCAAGUCGAGCGAACAGACGAGGAGCUUGCUCCUCUGACGUUAGCGGCGGACGGGUGAGUAACACGUGGAUAACCUACCUAUAAGACUGGGACAACUUCGGGAAACCGGAGCUAAUACCGGAUAAUAUAUUGAACCGCAUGGUUCAAUAGUGAAAGACGGUUUUGCUGUCACUUAUAGAUGGAUCCGCGCCGCAUUAGCUAGUUGGUAAGGUAACGGCUUACCAAGGCAACGAUGCGUAGCCGACCUGAGAGGGUGUCGGGCACCCUUGAACUUGAGCACCGGCCCAGCCCCCUAGGGAAGGCACAGGUGGGAAAUCUCCGGAAAGGGGCGAAAGCCUGCCGAAGCAACGCGGGGUGGGUGAUGAAGGUCUCCGGAUGGUAAACCCCUGUUAUUGGGGAAAAACAAAUGUGUAGGUAACUAUGCCCGUCUGACGGGAACCUAAUAAGAAGCCACGGCUAACUACGUG
RNAcentral lists this ribosomal RNA (496 nucleotides) under uncultured bacterium. Its description in RNAcentral is "partial 16S ribosomal RNA". It matches the Rfam family "Bacterial small subunit ribosomal RNA", at positions 28 to 507 of the family's 1533-position model. The record is from RNAcentral.